Molecule: ribosomal RNA, 633 nt
Filed under: Dendropsophus parviceps (Sarayacu treefrog)
Lineage: Eukaryota; Metazoa; Chordata; Amphibia; Anura; Hylidae
Description: partial 12S ribosomal RNA
Rfam family: Bacterial small subunit ribosomal RNA
Source: RNAcentral
GAAAAUAAGCGACAGCUUGAAUCAGUUAAAGUAAAAAGAGCCGGCAAAUCUGGUGCCAGCCGCCGCGGUUACACCACGUGACUCAAACUGACCUCUUCCGGCGUAAAGCGUGAUUAAAGCCCNUCUUACCACUGCAAUUAAACCAGAACUGAGCUGUGACACGCCUAUUCCUGAGAACCCCAAAACCGAAAGUCAUUGCAANCCCCUAAACUUGAACUCACGACAGCUAGAAAACAAACUGGGAUUAGAUACCCCACUAUGCCUAGCCGUAAANCCUUUAUUUACCUCCACACCGCCAGGGAACUACGAGCAAAGCUUAAAACCCAAAGGACUUGACGGUACCCCAUAUCCACCUAGAGGAGCCUGUCCUAUAAUCGAUAAUCCCCGCUUAACCUCACCAUUUUUAGCAUAUCAGCCUGUAUACCUCCGUCGUCAGCUUACCUCAUGAGCGCCAAUUAGUGAGCUAAAUGCCCCUACGCCAACACGUCAGGUCAAGGUGCAGCAUAUAAAAUGGGAAGAGAUGGGCUACACUGUCUAAACUAGACUACACGGAAGACUAUAUAUGAAACCUAGUCGGAAGGCGGAUUUAGAAGUNAAAAAAGACCAAAGCGCUUUUUUUAACUUGGCACUGGG